Molecule: ribosomal RNA, 421 nt
Filed under: uncultured fungus
Lineage: Eukaryota; Fungi
Description: eukaryotic LSU rRNA
Rfam family: Eukaryotic large subunit ribosomal RNA
Source: RNAcentral
GGCCUCGGAUCAGGUAGGAGUACCCGCUGAACUUAAGCAUAUCAAUAAGCGGAGGAAAAGAAACCAACAGGGAUUGCCUCAGUAACGGCGAGUGAAGCGGCAAAGGCUCAAAUUUGAAAUCUGACCCUUCGGGUCCGAGUUGUAAUUUGCAGAGGAUGUUUCGGGUAAGAUUUAGGUCUAAGUUCCUUGGAACAGGACGUCAUAGAGGGUGAGAAUCCCGUACGUGACCGUUGAUCGCACCCAUGUGAAACUCCUUCGACGAGUCGAGUUGUUUGGGAAUGCAGCUCAAAAUGGGUGGUAAAUUUCAUCUAAAGCUAAAUAUUGGCCAGAGACCGAUAGCGCACAAGUAGAGUGGUCGAAAGAUGAAAAGCACUUUGAAAAGAGAGUUAAACAGUAUGUGAAAUUGUUGAAAGGGAAGCGC